GUAUUGUUCUGUGUAAAGCUGAUGGUGCUGUUCACAUCAGAAAUUGCAGCACUGAAGAACAGAGUUCAUGCAGACUUUUACAACAUGCAUCAGCUACAGCAUUUGUUUGUUGAUGGUACCAGCUGUCAAAAACCAAGCAAGUGGCAGUGCUAGAGGUGCCACAAAAGUGCGAAGGAAGUGUCAGGCUGGAUGUCAAAAUGAACACCUUGGAGAACUGGAUGAUGGAACAGACGGUAAAAAUCAGCUAAACAUCAGAGAAAAUGGAGGAAGAGGUCAAAACUGUGAACAGGAACUAGAAGAAAGUGUAGCAGAAAAAGACUUGUCACAAACUUCGAGAGAUUUGGAGAAAAUGAUGUCAAAACACAUCUUCCUCAAGCCCAUGCUGAGUAUCUCUGAUUUGGUUAAUUUCUUGCUGGCACCCUCUCUACGUCUCUGCCAUCUGUCACCUAGACAACACAGCAUCUUCCAAAUGAGUGCCUCUAUUUCCAGGGUGAUCUUAAAACAGAAAUCAGAUUUUCACCCCUGCUGAAUAUCCUUCAGGGUCUCUUCUCUGCACCCAGCUGGAAUCCAAACACUGGUCCAGGAAGCCCCGCCUGCCUCUCCUGCCUCACCCAGAUGGCUCUACCCUUUGCCCACCUCACUUCAGCCACAGUGGCCUCACCUAAGUGCCUCCACAUUUGGUAUCUAUUCAUUCUCUAGCCAGUGCACCUCAGAAUGCCUGGAAUUCAGCUGGGCAUGGUGGCCCAUUCCUGUAAUUCCAGCACUUUGUGAGGCCAAGGUGGGUGGAUCACUUGAGGUCAGGAGUUCGAGACCAGCCUGACCAACAUGGGGAACCCCCGUCUCUACCGAAAAUACAAAAAUUAGUUGGGCAUAGUGGUGCGUGCCUGUAAUCCCAGCCACUCUGGAGGCCGAGGUAGGAGAAUUGCUUGAACCUGGAGGUGGAGGUUGCAGUGAGCCAAGAUUGUGCCACUGCACUCCAGCCUGGGCGACACAGCAAGAUUCUGUCUCAAACAAACAAACAAACAAAUAAAAAGAAUGCCUGGAAUUCCUGUCCUUUCCCAUCACUUGUUGUCUCUUUCUCAUCUUUCCAGCCUCAGCUUAAAUGUCACCUCCUCAGGGGAGCCUUCCCUGGUCACAUGAUCUUUAAUAGGUCAUCCAUGUUUUUCUUCCCUCAGCACCUCAUUUGUUUCCUUCCCAGUACUUAAUGUAAUAGAUCAUUAUUCUUUGUGUAUUUAAGUGUCUCCCCAUGGUGGGUGCAGUGGCUCAUGCCUGUAAUCCCAGUACUUUGGGAGGCUGAGGCAGGAGGAUUACUUGUGUCCAGGAGUUUGAGACCAGCCUGGGCAACAUAGUGAGAUCCUGUCUCUAUAAAAAAAAUUACAAAUUAGCCAAGUGUGGUGGUGCAGACCUGUAGUCCCAGUUACUCGGGAGGCUAAGGCGGGAGGAUCACUUGAGCCUGGGAGGUCGAGGCUAAAGUGAGCUGAGAUGGUGCCACUGAACUCCAGCUUGGGUGUCAGAGUGAGACCCUAAAAAAGAAAAAGUUAAAUUAAAUAAUUGUUUCCCCAACUACACUAUAAUCUCCAU
Molecule: long non-coding RNA, 1581 nt
Filed under: Homo sapiens (human)
Lineage: Eukaryota; Metazoa; Chordata; Mammalia; Primates; Hominidae
Description: non-protein coding LINC02576:7
Source: RNAcentral